This 254-nucleotide ribosomal RNA is filed under the name uncultured bacterium. Its description in RNAcentral is "partial 16S ribosomal RNA". It matches the Rfam family "Bacterial small subunit ribosomal RNA", at positions 524 to 776 of the family's 1533-position model. The record is from RNAcentral.
UACGUAGGGGGCAAGCGUUGUCCGGAUUUAUUGGGCGUAAAGAGCUCGUAGGCGGUUCAGUAAGUCAGGUGUGAAACCUCCAGGCUCAACCUGGAGACGCCACCUGAUACUGCUGUGACUGGAGUCCGGUAGGGGAGCGUGGAAUUCCUGGUGUAGCGGUGAAAUGCGCAGAUAUCAGGAGGAACACCAGCGGCGAAGGCGGCGCUCUGGGCCGGUACUGACGCUGAGGAGCGAAAGCGUGGGUAGCAAACAGG